CUCAAGUCAAGGUCGAUAGCAGUGAUUCUAUGAACCUUUUGCGCCGAAUAAUUACAUAAAACUGUGAAUUUCAAUAAGUUUUACCCAUCGUGACACCCUUUGCGUAGACAUUUUGUUAGUUCUUUCUUGUUUACACGAGUUUCUAAGUUAAUACCCGUGCUGGUGUUCUAGAAAGUACCAUUCUACUCCUCAGCUCAUUUUGCGCAACAACAUCUUUUAGACCUAGAUUUUAUGUUUUACUCCUUUACAUCUUCUCUAACUCGUUGUGACUAUUCAUCUCCAGACAUAUAAUCAGACAUACAGAUUUUUAUGUGGCAAGGUGGGUCUAAAGUUUGCGUUUUUAUCGGAAUCAUAUUGUUCUGGCUCUAUUCACUGACUACUUUUGGCACAAUGGCAUGGUUUUCUCAUGGCAAAUCAAAUUUAGAACUCGUGAAAAGUUUAAAAAAUAAUGGAAUUAUUAAAAGUUCCCGUGUGGAAGAGGCUAUGUUGAGCGUGGAUCGAGGAAAGUAUGUCAAGGAGAACUCUUAUAGAGAUGCCCCUCAAGGAAUUGGUUAUGGCGUUACAAUCAGCGCUCCGCAUAUGCAUGCUUAUGCACUAGAGGCAUUGAAGGAUCAUUUGGUGGAAGGCGAAAAAGCGUUAGAUGUUGGUUCUGGGUCCGGUUACCUAACAGCAUGCAUGGCUCUACUGGUUGGCAAAUCAGGCAAAGCAGUGGGGAUCGACCACAUCCCUGAGCUAGUCGAAUAUUCAGUAAAAAAUGUCAUGUCAGAUCAUCCUGAACUAUUAGAAUCUGGAGUUGUUAAAUUAGUCGCUGGUGAUGGACGACAAGGAUAUAGCCCAGAGGCACCUUAUAAUGCAAUACAUGUAGGUGCUGCUGCACCUAUUUUACCACAAGCGUUAAUUGAUCAGUUAAAGCCUGGCGGCCGACUUAUAAUUCCUGUUGGACCGGCGCACGGCGAGCAAAAUUUAGAACAAAUCGAUAAGUUAGCUGAUGGUUCUGUCACAAGACAAGCAUUGAUGGGUGUUGUAUACGUGCCUUUGACUGAUAAAUCAACUCAAUGGCCUGGCAGGUGGAAAUAAUAUUGUGUUGUCACGUAGGCAAUUAUACUGUUUGCUUAAACCUCUGUCCUUUUUUCCAUGCACUGUCCCUGUACGUACGAAGAAAAAUUGAAUAUUCAUUAUAUUCUGAGAUGAAGUCAUAAACUUGCAUGAAUAAUGAGAAUGGGCCUCUCGACUAGCUCUGCACCAGGUGCGAGUUAAAGCACUGUACAACAUGUUUCCUCUUCCAAAUUUCACGAGCAAAAUAAAUUGCACAACAAGAAGUAUGGAAAUCAACUUCUACCCAAGAUGUAAGUACUCUCAAUUAACAUUAAUUAAAUGGCCAAAAUACAAAUGAAGUCAUUCCUAUCUGUUCCCAAAAAAAAAAAAAAAAAAAAAUGAAGCCAAGAAUUCGUGUUAAGAUUUCAUUCAGAAAUUGAUUUUGGAAAUUUCUGUUGGAUGAGUUGUUUUCUAUGUGAAAUAUUUUGAAGAGGAAACAUGUGACGCUUCUUCCAGUCCAGAACUUAGAGUUAAGAUGCUGUAAAGGCGCUGUGUGCAUACUAACAUUUGAAAGUGAAUUGUACCCAUUGAGAAGUCUAAAUUUGGAAAUGCAAAGCAAAAAAGGGGGAUUCGUUAAAGUCAGAAAGCUACCCCAGUCGGAAAAUCCUUGGUGCUGAUAACAAAUGACUUGGUGAGGUUUUGCUGUACUACAUCAGCACUGUAAUUGUACUUUAAUGGUACGAUAUCCAUAAUUUCCUAUAUCUAAAAGGUCUGUUUUCUUUUUUUUAAUUCGAUUUUCAAUCUUAUCACUUCAUCCUUCUUUUAAGAUUAUUGAAUAAUUUAUAAGUUCUGAAAACAAAAUAAUUUUGUUAAUGUUUCAUGAUUUUUCAAUUUAUAUUGUUCUAUAGUUAAAAUUAUUUUGACUAUUUUUAUUGAAGUUAAUUUUGACCAUUAUUGUCAAAAUAAAGUAAACACAGUUGUGUGUAGACAAAAGUUGAUCAACUUAGAGUCUUCUAAGAGCAUGUAAGCGAUACUUACUUUAGCAUUGACUUUUCCUUCUUUGAAAUUUAAAGUCUCCUCAGAAAUAAUAAGAAUAUGACACAUGAUUGUGGCAUUCAUCUCUUUCUCCCAGUCCCUUACCAAAGAAUUGAAAUAUCAUUUUUCUCAGUCGAAGAUGGAUGUUGGUUUUCAGUUGCUUCUUUACUAAAAAUCUGGUGGAUGUAUGUUCAGAAAAAGUGUUUCCUCAAACAUAAGUGUUCAAAUUUAUCUUUUGUGAUUUCAUAAUUUACACGCGUCUGCCACCUUAAUAAAGCAAGGACCAGAGAAGGUAAUACCCAGUCAAUUUUCAGCGCUGGGUCAUUAAUUAUUAUUGGUUUGACCCUCUCAAGUAAGGAUUUUUCAAAGAAUGCAACUUUGUCUGAAAAUAAAAAACCAGGAUUUUCUGGAAAGCUGAUGCACGCAUGGAAAAAACAUUUCGAGUUCAGUAGCCAAAAAUGUAUUGUAGCACAUCUAUGGCAUGUUUAAAAAUUUUUUUCACUUUUUCUGAUCAAAAAUUUUCCUUGGUCAAAAGACAAAAAUUUGCCCAGUGCAAAUCGUACCAGUUUGUUUUGCGUCUAGAAGGGAGGAAAACACUUUUUUUCCUAAAUUUGUGAUAGAGCUACAAGCUAGUAUGAACCAGUGUCAUUUGGACUAUAGAAGCCAAAACUAGGACUAGCUCCAUCAGAUGUCUAGAGAACUAUUUGUUACCCUCCCUUUCCUACGCAAAACAAGCCAGGUUUUCCAUAAUUUUUUCAUUUUCUAAUUCUCUGCCUCUGUUUGCUAUUUCCUGACAUCGAAAUUUUCGAACUACUCGGCUUUCCCUGGCCUCCAAUCAAAACGCUUGGUUUUGUUUUCUUCAGAUUCCGCUGACUUUUGAAUUACUCUGGUUGAUACCUGUACUUCUAGUGCUCCAAAUUAAGGGAGAAGGCAUUUUGAAGUGGCCUGUGCUCUCUCAAUUGGCACCGGCUGAAGAUACUAAGCCUCGUGCAAAAUUCCCUGACUUUUCCAGGUUACUGUAAAUUCUCUGACGUUGAAUGUCCAGACCGUUGAAAACUCUGCCAGUAGAUAAGAUUUGUAUCCGCCACUUGGGCGGUUUUUGAUGUUUGACUAGGUACGAAAACUUUUUCAUCAGGAACAAUGAGAAAAGUUAUUAGGCAUGCCCAAUGAUUACUUUUAAGUAUUUUUGGGUGCUAAGCCUGAAAGGAAAUAACAUUUUUUUUCUUUUUCUGAGCACUUACCAAUUUUUCCAAGGAAGUUUAUAUUCUAGGAAAUCUUUCCUUAAUAGGGGAACACAAAUAGCAUUUUCAGACUCAUUGUUAGUCCUAAAAUCUAUCAAGAAUUACCAACUGAGAUCCUUGCUUUAUUUCACAGAUUUUUUUGUACACAUACUGGUACCUAUGUCACAUUCCCAGAUGAAUGAUACCCAUUAUAUUGUCAUCUUUCUUUCGCAACCUUGAAUGUCAGAUGUGUCCACAGGGUCCUAGCGAGAGGCAUGCGAGCAUGGUUACGUCGUAAAAAUGAAAAGCGGCGAACAUCACAAAAUUCAUAAAAAUUUUCUCUCGAAGAAACUUCCCAUGCAGAUUUGCGGGACAGCUCCUAACACUGAAUAACUAAGGAGACAAAUCCAUGCUGUUAUUCCGAAGUUGUGCGGUUCAUCAUGACUUUUUUGCUCAUACCUUUGUUUUACCAGAAUGUAAUUUUGCAGUAUUAUUCGUAUUAGUAAUCUACAUUUAUAACUGUAUGAUGUUUCUUUUCCUAAUUCUCUAGCUAAGUUGUGAUGUAAAAAUACAUUGACUCUUCAUUAAUAACGCGAAA
This is a non-coding RNA of Bemisia tabaci, 3888 nucleotides long. NCBI's taxonomy places the organism in Eukaryota, Metazoa, Arthropoda, Insecta, Hemiptera, Aleyrodidae. The record is from RefSeq and is a predicted model, not a curated record.